This 845-nucleotide ribosomal RNA is filed under the name Lactarius fuscomaculatus. RNAcentral's name for it is "partial large subunit ribosomal RNA". It matches the Rfam family "Eukaryotic large subunit ribosomal RNA", at positions 81 to 906 of the family's 3401-position model. The record is from RNAcentral. Lineage: Eukaryota; Fungi; Basidiomycota; Agaricomycetes; Russulales; Russulaceae.
UAGUUUCCGCCAGGGAAGCCGGAAAAGCUCAAAUUUAAAAUCUGGCGGUCCUUUGGCCGUCCGAGUUGUAAUUUAGAGAAGCGUCUUCCGCGCCGGACCGUGCACAAGUCUCCUGGAAUGGAGCGUCAUAGAGGGUGAGAAUCCCGUCUUUGGCACGGAUGCCUGGUGCUUCUGUGAUGCGCUCUCGAAGAGUCGAGUUGUUUGGGAAUGCAGCUCAAAAUGGGUGGUGAACUCCAUCUAAAGCUAAAUAUUGGCGAGAGACCGAUAGCGAACAAGUACCGUGAGGGAAAGAUGAAAAGCACUUUGGAAAGAGAGUGAAACAGUACGUGAAAUUGUUGAAAGGGAAACGCUUGAAGUCAGUCGCGUCGUCCGAGACUCAGCCUUGCCUUGGCUUGGUGUACUUCUCGGCCCGACGGGUCAGCAUCAAUUUCUCCCCUCGGAUAAUGGCAAGGGAAAGGUGGCACCUUUACGGGUGUGUUAUAGUCUCCUGUCGCAUGCGAGGGGUGGGAUUGAGGAACUCAGCACGCACCUCGGUGUCGGGGCUUCGGCCCACGUCACGUGCUUAGGAUGCUGGCGUAAUGGCUUUAAGCGACCCGUCUUGAAACACGGACCAAGGAGUCCAACGUGCACGCGAGUGUUCGGGUGGAAAACCCGUGCGCGCAAUGAAAGUAAAAGUUGGGACCUCUGUCGUGAGGGCACCGACGCCCGGACCAGACCUUCUGUGACGGAUCUGCGGUAGAGCGUGCAUGUUGGGACCCGAAAGAUGGUGAACUAUGCCUGAUAGGGUGAAGCCAGAGGAAACUCUGGUGGAGCUCGUAGCGAUUCUGACGUGCAAAUCGAUCGUC